GUGAGGGGCGAAAGCUGGGGGCGCAAACCGGAUUAGAUACCCGGGUAGUCCAGCAGUAAACGAUGCCAGCUAUGUGUUGCUGGGAACCAUGGGUUCCACAGUGCCGAAGGGAAGCCGUGAAGCUGGCCACCUGGGAAGUACGGUCGCAAGGCUGAAACUUAAAGGAAUUGGCGGGGGAGUACCACAACCGGUGGAGCCUGCGGUUUAAUUGGAUACAACGCCGGGAAUCUUACCGGAGGGGACAGCAGUAUGAAGGCCAGGCUAAAGACCUUGCCAGAUCAGCUGAGAGGAGGUGCAUGGCCGUCGCCAGUUCGUACCGUGAGGCAUCCUGUUUAGUCAGGCAACGAUCGAGACCCGCAGUCUUAUUUGCCAGCAUGCCCUUUGGGGUGUAUGGGUACAAUAAGACGACCGCCAGCGCUAAGCUGGAGGAAGGAGCGGGCUACGGUAGGUCAGCAUGCCCCGAAUCCUCCGGGAUACACGCGGGCUACAAUGGUCAGGACAAAAGGUACCGACCUCGAAAGAGUGAGGUAAUCCACAAACCUGAUCUCAGUCCGGAUCGAAGGCUGCAACUCGCCUUCGUGAAGAUGGAAUCGGUAGUAAUCGUGACUCAAAAUG
This 615-nucleotide ribosomal RNA is filed under the name uncultured archaeon. RNAcentral describes it as "bacterial SSU rRNA". It matches the Rfam family "Archaeal small subunit ribosomal RNA", at positions 697 to 1312 of the family's 1478-position model. The record is from RNAcentral.